RNAcentral lists this ribosomal RNA (359 nucleotides) under uncultured bacterium. RNAcentral describes it as "partial 16S ribosomal RNA". It matches the Rfam family "Bacterial small subunit ribosomal RNA", at positions 338 to 695 of the family's 1533-position model. The record is from RNAcentral.
CCUACGGGGGGCAGCAGUGAGGAAUAUUGGUCAAUGGCCGAGAGGCUGAACCAGCCAAGUCGCGUGAGGGAAGACGGCCCUACGGGUUGUAAACCUCGUUUGUCGGGGAGCAAAGCGAACCACGUGUGGAUCAUUGAGAGUACCCGAAGAAAAAGCAUCGGCUAACUCCGUGCCAGCAGCCGCGGUAAUGCGGAGGAUGCGAGCGUUAUCCGGAUGUAGUGGGUUUAAAGGGUGCGCAGGCGGAGGGGCAAGUCAGCGGUUAAAGGGUGGGGCUCAACCCCGGUCCGCUGUGGAAACUGCAUAACGUGAGGGCGAGAGGGGAGAGUGGAAUUCCAUGUGUAGCGGUGAAAUGAGUAGAU